Molecule: ribosomal RNA, 370 nt
Filed under: uncultured Sphingobacteriales bacterium
Lineage: Bacteria; Pseudomonadati; Bacteroidota; Sphingobacteriia; Sphingobacteriales
Description: bacterial SSU rRNA
Rfam family: Bacterial small subunit ribosomal RNA
Source: RNAcentral
UUACAUCUCUUCGGAGCAUUUUACGAGGUGCUGCAUGGUUGUCGUCAGCUCGUGCCGUGAGGUGUCGGGUUAAGUCCCAUAACGAGCGCAACCCUACCUUUAGUUGCCAUCAGGUUAAGCUGGGGACUCUAAAGGAACUGCCUACGCAAGUAGUGAGGAAGCGGGGAUGACGUCAAAUCAGCACGGCCCUUACGUCCAGGGCUACACACGUGCUACAAUGGCCGAUACAGAGGGCAGCUACCUGGUGACAGGAUGCAAAUCUCCAAAGUCGGUCUCAGUUCGGAUCGGAGUCUGCAACCCGACUCCGUGAAGUUGGAUUCGCUAGUAAUCGCGCAUCAGCCAUGGCGCGGUGAAUACGUUCCCGGGCCUU